GACGAACGCUGGCGGCGUGCCCAAUACAUGCAAGUAGAACGCUGAAGAGAGGAGCUUACUCUUCUUGGAUGAGUUGCGAACGGGUGAGUAACGCGUAGGUAACCUGCCUUGUAGCGGGGGAUAACUAUUGGAAACGAUAGCUAAUACCGCAUAACAAUGGAUGACACAUGUCAUUUAUUUGAAAGGGGCAAUUGCUCCACUACAAGAUGGACCUGCGUUGUAUUAGCUAGUAGGUGAGGUAAUGGCUCACCUAGGCGACGAUACAUAGCCGACCUGAGAGGGUGAUCGGCCACACUGGGACUGAGACACGGCCCAGACUCCUACGGAAGGCAGCAGGAGGGAAUCUUCGGCAAUGGGGGCAACCCUGACCGAGCAACGCCGCGUGAGUGAAGAAGGUUUUCGGAUCGUAAAGCUCUGUUGUAAGUCAAGAACGGGUGUGAGAGUGGAAAGUUCACACUGUGACGGUAGCUUACCAGAAAGGGACGGCUAACUACGUG
RNAcentral lists this ribosomal RNA (497 nucleotides) under uncultured bacterium. RNAcentral describes it as "partial 16S ribosomal RNA". It matches the Rfam family "Bacterial small subunit ribosomal RNA", at positions 28 to 507 of the family's 1533-position model. The record is from RNAcentral.